This 217-nucleotide long non-coding RNA is filed under the name Elaeis guineensis (African oil palm). RNAcentral describes it as "long non-coding RNA (EGUI_LNC050873)". Lineage: Eukaryota; Viridiplantae; Streptophyta; Magnoliopsida; Arecales; Arecaceae. The record is from RNAcentral.
CCAAUCAAAAUAGGCAGACUAACUAGGCACCCCUCAUCAAGAGAGGCAAGUAGUUGGGGCACCAACCCUUAGCACCCCAUCUAGGAUUUUUUCAUGCAAGAGAGGGGGCGUGGUCCCUCUCUCUCUCUCCUUCCAUGCCAAACCAAGAGGAGGGGGCAGGCCCCUCUCUCUUCCUCAUUCCAUUCCAAGAGGUUGGUGCCCCUUGGACCUUCCAAAA